RNAcentral lists this ribosomal RNA (2904 nucleotides) under Escherichia coli. RNAcentral's name for it is "23S ribosomal RNA". It matches the Rfam family "Bacterial large subunit ribosomal RNA". The record is from RNAcentral. Lineage: Bacteria; Pseudomonadati; Pseudomonadota; Gammaproteobacteria; Enterobacterales; Enterobacteriaceae.
GGUUAAGCGACUAAGCGUACACGGUGGAUGCCCUGGCAGUCAGAGGCGAUGAAGGACGUGCUAAUCUGCGAUAAGCGUCGGUAAGGUGAUAUGAACCGUUAUAACCGGCGAUUUCCGAAUGGGGAAACCCAGUGUGUUUCGACACACUAUCAUUAACUGAAUCCAUAGGUUAAUGAGGCGAACCGGGGGAACUGAAACAUCUAAGUACCCCGAGGAAAAGAAAUCAACCGAGAUUCCCCCAGUAGCGGCGAGCGAACGGGGAGCAGCCCAGAGCCUGAAUCAGUGUGUGUGUUAGUGGAAGCGUCUGGAAAGGCGCGCGAUACAGGGUGACAGCCCCGUACACAAAAAUGCACAUGCUGUGAGCUCGAUGAGUAGGGCGGGACACGUGGUAUCCUGUCUGAAUAUGGGGGGACCAUCCUCCAAGGCUAAAUACUCCUGACUGACCGAUAGUGAACCAGUACCGUGAGGGAAAGGCGAAAAGAACCCCGGCGAGGGGAGUGAAAAAGAACCUGAAACCGUGUACGUACAAGCAGUGGGAGCACGCUUCGGCGUGUGACUGCGUACCUUUUGUAUAAUGGGUCAGCGACUUAUAUUCUGUAGCAAGGUUAACCGAAUAGGGGAGCCGAAGGGAAACCGAGUCUUAACUGGGCGUUAAGUUGCAGGGUAUAGACCCGAAACCCGGUGAUCUAGCCAUGGGCAGGUUGAAGGUUGGGUAACACUAACUGGAGGACCGAACCGACUAAUGUUGAAAAAUUAGCGGAUGACUUGUGGCUGGGGGUGAAAGGCCAAUCAAACCGGGAGAUAGCUGGUUCUCCCCGAAAGCUAUUUAGGUAGCGCCUCGUGAAUUCAUCUCCGGGGGUAGAGCACUGUUUCGGCAAGGGGGUCAUCCCGACUUACCAACCCGAUGCAAACUGCGAAUACCGGAGAAUGUUAUCACGGGAGACACACGGCGGGUGCUAACGUCCGUCGUGAAGAGGGAAACAACCCAGACCGCCAGCUAAGGUCCCAAAGUCAUGGUUAAGUGGGAAACGAUGUGGGAAGGCCCAGACAGCCAGGAUGUUGGCUUAGAAGCAGCCAUCAUUUAAAGAAAGCGUAAUAGCUCACUGGUCGAGUCGGCCUGCGCGGAAGAUGUAACGGGGCUAAACCAUGCACCGAAGCUGCGGCAGCGACGCUGAUGCGUUGUUGGGUAGGGGAGCGUUCUGUAAGCCUGUGAAGGUGUGCUGUGAGGCAUGCUGGAGGUAUCAGAAGUGCGAAUGCUGACAUAAGUAACGAUAAAGCGGGUGAAAAGCCCGCUCGCCGGAAGACCAAGGGUUCCUGUCCAACGUUAAUCGGGGCAGGGUGAGUCGACCCCUAAGGCGAGGCCGAAAGGCGUAGUCGAUGGGAAACAGGUUAAUAUUCCUGUACUUGGUGUUACUGCGAAGGGGGGACGGAGAAGGCUAUGUUGGCCGGGCGACGGUUGUCCCGGUUUAAGCGUGUAGGCUGGUUUUCCAGGCAAAUCCGGAAAAUCAAGGCUGAGGCGUGAUGACGAGGCACUACGGUGCUGAAGCAACAAAUGCCCUGCUUCCAGGAAAAGCCUCUAAGCAUCAGGUAACAUCAAAUCGUACCCCAAACCGACACAGGUGGUCAGGUAGAGAAUACCAAGGCGCUUGAGAGAACUCGGGUGAAGGAACUAGGCAAAAUGGUGCCGUAACUUCGGGAGAAGGCACGCUGAUAUGUAGGUGAAGUCCCUCGCGGAUGGAGCUGAAAUCAGUCGAAGAUACCAGCUGGCUGCAACUGUUUAUUAAAAACACAGCACUGUGCAAACACGAAAGUGGACGUAUACGGUGUGACGCCUGCCCGGUGCCGGAAGGUUAAUUGAUGGGGUCAGCGCAAGCGAAGCUCUUGAUCGAAGCCCCGGUAAACGGCGGCCGUAACUAUAACGGUCCUAAGGUAGCGAAAUUCCUUGUCGGGUAAGUUCCGACCUGCACGAAUGGCGUAAUGAUGGCCAGGCUGUCUCCACCCGAGACUCAGUGAAAUUGAACUCGCUGUGAAGAUGCAGUGUACCCGCGGCAAGACGGAAAGACCCCGUGAACCUUUACUAUAGCUUGACACUGAACAUUGAGCCUUGAUGUGUAGGAUAGGUGGGAGGCUUUGAAGUGUGGACGCCAGUCUGCAUGGAGCCGACCUUGAAAUACCACCCUUUAAUGUUUGAUGUUCUAACGUUGACCCGUAAUCCGGGUUGCGGACAGUGUCUGGUGGGUAGUUUGACUGGGGCGGUCUCCUCCUAAAGAGUAACGGAGGAGCACGAAGGUUGGCUAAUCCUGGUCGGACAUCAGGAGGUUAGUGCAAUGGCAUAAGCCAGCUUGACUGCGAGCGUGACGGCGCGAGCAGGUGCGAAAGCAGGUCAUAGUGAUCCGGUGGUUCUGAAUGGAAGGGCCAUCGCUCAACGGAUAAAAGGUACUCCGGGGAUAACAGGCUGAUACCGCCCAAGAGUUCAUAUCGACGGCGGUGUUUGGCACCUCGAUGUCGGCUCAUCACAUCCUGGGGCUGAAGUAGGUCCCAAGGGUAUGGCUGUUCGCCAUUUAAAGUGGUACGCGAGCUGGGUUUAGAACGUCGUGAGACAGUUCGGUCCCUAUCUGCCGUGGGCGCUGGAGAACUGAGGGGGGCUGCUCCUAGUACGAGAGGACCGGAGUGGACGCAUCACUGGUGUUCGGGUUGUCAUGCCAAUGGCACUGCCCGGUAGCUAAAUGCGGAAGAGAUAAGUGCUGAAAGCAUCUAAGCACGAAACUUGCCCCGAGAUGAGUUCUCCCUGACCCUUUAAGGGUCCUGAAGGAACGUUGAAGACGACGACGUUGAUAGGCCGGGUGUGUAAGCGCAGCGAUGCGUUGAGCUAACCGGUACUAAUGAACCGUGAGGCUUAACCUU